UGGGGAAUCUUCCGCAAUGGGCGAAAGCCUGACGGAGCAACGCCGCGUGAGGGAAGAAGGCCUUCGGGUUGUAAACCUCUGUCUUCAAGGAAGAAGAGAUGACGGUACUUGGAGAGGAAGCCGCGGCUAACUACGUGCCAGCAGCCGCGGUAAAACGUAGGGGGCGAGCGUUGUCCGGAAUUACUGGGCGUCAAGGGCGCGGAGGUGGUUGAUUAAGUUAGAGGAGAAAGGCCGCAGCGCAACAGCGGG
RNAcentral lists this ribosomal RNA (249 nucleotides) under uncultured Desulfotomaculum sp. Its description in RNAcentral is "partial 16S ribosomal RNA". It matches the Rfam family "Bacterial small subunit ribosomal RNA", at positions 355 to 619 of the family's 1533-position model. The record is from RNAcentral. Lineage: Bacteria; Bacillati; Bacillota; Clostridia; Eubacteriales; Desulfotomaculaceae.